RNAcentral lists this long non-coding RNA (2653 nucleotides) under Nicotiana benthamiana. Lineage: Eukaryota; Viridiplantae; Streptophyta; Magnoliopsida; Solanales; Solanaceae. The record is from RNAcentral.
CGAAAGCCCUUGGUACUUGUCUGAUCAAUCACACUGAUAGCUUCAAUAGUUCACUGAAAUUUUUGUGAAUGAUCGUGACAGCUCUUCAAAUCCUAUUCAGUCUGAUUAGAUAUGUCACUGAAACAAAGUGAUUCCGUUCUGUCUCUGUUUUCUUUUCGGAUUCCGAGGAUGAGCCGGCCGAUCCUAACAUCAUUGAUCCUAUUCAGUUUGAUUAGAUAUGUCACUGAAACAAAGUGCUGUUCUGUCUCUGUUUUCUUUCGGAUGGGAGGAUGAGCCGGCCGAUCCUAAUAUCAUUUAUGAGGAGCAGGACGACGAAGCCUCCUCCUCAGAUAAAAAUAUCUCCGAUGCUACUCUCACGGCAAGAACAACUUUUUCUAUUGUGAUUUUUUGAUGAGUUCAGUCAGGAAGAACAAAAGAGAGAUGCUUUCUAUAAGAAAAAAUUAUAUAUCGCCCCCCGUGCUCCCACGGUGCGCUUAUCGAGGAACAGAAAGGAAGGACCCGGGGCCAGAGCAAAUUGGGUUUGGGUAUAGAGCCGUAAGCACGGUGGGGGUGACAGAGGACAUGCUCGUACAGUUCAUAGAAGGAUAUGAAAAAGUACUUAUUUGUUGGGAACUUUCACUCCUCUAUAAUCGAAAUAUUCCUCUCUAGGAUCAUUACGAUCUGCAGCUCAAAUUGUCCCUUAUGAAGUCUCUAUUGGUCUUAUUCUUAUUUUGCGCCUUGUGAGCGCGUUUGGAUCUGCGAAGGCAAUCGCUCGGAUGUUCCCCUAACCCAACCCGGGAACGGACCGGAGGGAAUCGCAGCAUGGGGAAUGUCUGCGUCUCAUCGCAAGGCUCAUUUUGAGUUGUGGGUCAUAAGGCGGGCAGCUUUAUCUUAUCAAGGGCCAGGGCACAAGGGUUCUGUUACUAUCUAGGUGCGAAGAACCCCAGAGGUUACUGCAAUGAGAAGAAAUCUCACUCACGGGUCUAAACGACGAGCAAACACUCGAAUGUGAGAGCAACGGAUCACCCAAUGAAUGGACGAGCUCAAAGGGGGGAGGGAGGAAAGAACCAUGCUUUCAGAGACCUAACCCAACCCGGUCCGAAUCUUAUCUGAACAGCGAGAAUAAAAUACUAAGCCGUGCCAAAAGGGGUCAUCCUCCAUACAGGAUGGGGCCAAGCCUUUCGGUUGUUUAAGUAGGUUGAGUGACAUAUCGGCCAUAAGAGUACUCCGGGAUAUAAACCAGGGCAACAAAAGUGGAGCACAUGACGAUGCCACCCGUUUUCAUUUCGUGGAAGUCCCCGGCAGAAGAAACGGCUGUAGGUGAUGGCGCGCUCUGCUUCUUAUGACAAGAGGGGAGUCGAAAUCCUUUCUAUUGGUUCUUGCAUGGCAGCUGGUAUAGAUGAUAAAAUGCGGGCCGCUUUUCGGGAGCUAUUCUCUUAAUAGGCGGCAAAGCGAAAUAGGAAAGGGGGCGAGCUGAGUGAUGAGUGCCUUUUUAGCCUUUACUUAAAAGGAUCUCAUGUGGAGCUAACAUGGCUGGCUACAUACAACUAUAGCCAAAUCAAGAUGAGAUGGGACGGCUGUUCAGAGGCCGCAGCAGGACUACCAUAAGAAAGCCCACCCCCGCUAGCUAACAUAUAAAGAGGUUCGCGGAUAGAAGUAGUCUCUAUGUGAAUCUCUUCCCGACCGGCCAGGCUAAAUCGGGGCACCACUUGGGAUGGAAUGGCUCAACCCACAUGCAUCAUUCGAUGAAAGCACUCGAGUCGCCUCCGAUGCUUGGUUUGUCAACCACGCUUUCUCUCCCUCAAAACAAUGCUCAGAACACGAAAGUGUGCAGUUCCGCCCCCUUCUCCCAUGUUGAGUCACGGGCAGCGCCUCAGAAAGCACGGACGAGCAACAUGCAGGGAAACUUGCACGUGUGGUUCUGGGCGGGGACCUCGGUAUACUGUACUAAUAUGUGUAGGUUCUCGUAAUUCGAGUUAGAUUGUUAUGGCGCAAAAGUAGAUACAGUCCGGUAUUCCCUUAUUCCCUGUAUUGGUUAUGUUCUUUAUAUCUCGUCUAGCAGAAACUAAUAGAGCUCUGUUUGAUCUCCCAUAAGCGGAAGCUGAAUCAGUUGUAGGCUAUAAUGUAGAAUAUGCGCGGGAUGCGAUCCUUAAUAGUUCACUGUUGGCGGAAGCCAAUGUCCCGGGGUCUCGGGGACUCAUUCUGACUGAAACAAGGGGCGGGUCUUUACCAACUUCCAAAUAUUCUAUUUUAGGGAAGCCAAAAAAGGUGAGCGCCUAGCGCGAAAGGUUGCUUUACUAAGUAAGAUAAGGCAAGAAGCAAGGGCGCAGCAGCUGCACGAAGUUGCUUCUUAGCGCAUCCGUUUUCUUGCUCGUUAGCGCUUGACUAAUAAGAUAGAAAGAGCCUUUCUUGCUUGUUUAGUAAAGUCUCGCUUUUUGAUAGGAGUAGGUGCUUGCUAGGGCAGGGCACUUUUCAUUCUUCAAUCGCGGGGUCUCGGGGACUAAUUCUGACUGAAACAAGGGGCAGGUCUUUACCAACUUCCAAAUAUUCUAUAUUAGGGAAGCAAAAAAAGGUGAGCGCCUAGCGGAGAUCUUAUCGGCCGGCAAACCAGAGACGGACGACCACGGAUCCGGCCUUACCAGCACCGGAGGUCUACUAAUCAAUGAACCCACGA